Molecule: ribosomal RNA, 351 nt
Filed under: Triticum aestivum (bread wheat)
Lineage: Eukaryota; Viridiplantae; Streptophyta; Magnoliopsida; Poales; Poaceae
Description: partial small subunit ribosomal RNA
Source: RNAcentral
AUGCAUUGGUAUUCUUGGUGGAAACUAUGCUGUCCCAAGUGUGAAGGUGGAAUGGGAUUCAGAGACUUAUAUUCCUUUAACUUGGCAAUGCUAUCAAAAAAGUGCUGGAGGCUCAUUACAUACCCUGACUCUUUGUGUGCUAGGGUGCUCAAAGCAAAAUAUUUCCAAAAUGGGAGUCUACUCCAAGCUAGCUUAAAAAAUGGUGCAUCAUUUACUUGGCAAAGUAUCAUGAAAGGAUUAGAGACCUCCAAACUGGGAUACAUAUGGAGAAUUGGAACAGGAGAAAACGUGAACAUUUGGAAUGACCCGUGGAUCCCAGCUAGCCCGGACAGAAAAGUUAUAUCAGUGUGA